RNAcentral lists this ribosomal RNA (574 nucleotides) under uncultured bacterium. RNAcentral's name for it is "bacterial SSU rRNA". It matches the Rfam family "Bacterial small subunit ribosomal RNA", at positions 85 to 655 of the family's 1533-position model. The record is from RNAcentral.
CUGGUGGCGAGUGGCGAACGGGUGAGUAAUGCGUCGGAACGUGCCGAGUAAUGGGGGAUAACGCAUCGAAAGGUGUGCUAAUACCGCAUACGCUCUGAGGAGGAAAGCGGGGGACCUUCGGGCCUCGCGUUAUUCGAGCGGCCGACGUCUGAUUAGCUAGUUGGUGGGGUAAAGGCUCACCAAGGCGACGAUCAGUAGCGGGUCUGAGAGGAUGAUCCGCCACACUGGGACUGAGACACGGCCCAGACUCCUACGGGAGGCAGCAGUGGGGAAUUUUGGACAAUGGGCGAAAGCCUGAUCCAGCCAUGCCGCGUGAGUGAAGAAGGCCUUCGGGUUGUAAAGCUCUUUUGUCCGGGAGGAAAUCCCGCAACCUAAUACGUUGCGGGGAUGACAGUACUGGAAGAAUAAGCACCGGCUAACUACGUGCCAGCAGCCGCGGUAAUACGUAGGGUGCAAGCGUUAAUCGGAAUUACUGGGCGUAAAGCGUGCGCAGGCGGUUUGAUAAGUCAGAUGUGAAAUCCCCGGGCUUAACCUGGGAACUGCGUUUGAAACUGUCAGGCUAGAGUACGUCAGA